GUUAAAGUGAGAGUCAUGCCUAGUGGUUGGUUCCUAUUGCUGCGUUUCUGGCUUAGGGUUGAUGGAGUGCUUAUGAGACUAAGAGACACUCGUUUGCAUUGUUUAUUUGGGGAGCAUAACAAAUCCUCUAUUCUUCGUGAAAGCUGCUGGAGAGAAACCACAUUUCAGGCCUUGUCUUCGAAAGGAUAUCCCUCUGAUGCUGCU
This 204-nucleotide unclassified non-coding RNA is filed under the name Hevea brasiliensis (rubber tree). Lineage: Eukaryota; Viridiplantae; Streptophyta; Magnoliopsida; Malpighiales; Euphorbiaceae. The record is from RNAcentral.